UUAAAAUAAAUAAAUUUAAAGAUAAAAAAAUCAGAAUGGUGCAGAGAGGAUUAGCACGGCCCCUGCAUAUAUAAAAGACAUGCAAAUUCACAGAGUUUUUCAUAUUUUU
Molecule: small nuclear RNA, 109 nt
Organism: Rattus norvegicus (Norway rat)
Lineage: Eukaryota; Metazoa; Chordata; Mammalia; Rodentia; Muridae
Source: Ensembl